AUUGAACGCUGGCGGCAUGCCUUACACAUGCAAGUCGAACGGCAGCACGGGUGCUUGCCCCUGGUGGCGAGUGGCGAACGGGUGAGUAAUACAUCGGAACAUGUCCUGUAGUGGGGGAUAGCCCGGCGAAAGCCGGAUUAAUACCGCAUACGAUCUACGGAUGACAGCGGGGGACCUUCGGGCCUCGCGCUAUAGGGUUGGCCGAUGGCUGAUUAGCUAGUUGGUGGGGUAAAGGCCUACCAAGGCGACGAUCAGUAGCUGGUCUGAGAGGACGACCAGCCACACUGGGACUGAGACACGGCCCAGACUCCUACGGGAGGCAGCAGUGGGGAAUUUUGGACAAAGGGCGAAAGCCUGAUCCAGCAAUGCCGCGUGUGUGAAGAAGGCCUUCGGGUUGGAAAGCACUUUUGUCCGGAAAGAAAUCCUUGGCCCUAAUACGGUCGGGGGAUGACGGUACCGGAAGAAUAAGCACCGGCUAACUACGUG
Molecule: ribosomal RNA, 486 nt
Filed under: uncultured bacterium
Lineage: Bacteria
Description: partial 16S ribosomal RNA
Rfam family: Bacterial small subunit ribosomal RNA
Source: RNAcentral